This 255-nucleotide ribosomal RNA is filed under the name uncultured bacterium. Its description in RNAcentral is "partial 16S ribosomal RNA". It matches the Rfam family "Bacterial small subunit ribosomal RNA", at positions 524 to 776 of the family's 1533-position model. The record is from RNAcentral.
UACGUAGGGUGCAAGCGUUGUCCGGAAUUAUUGGGCGUAAAGAGCUCGUAGGCGGUUUGUCGCGUCUGCUGUGAAAACCCGAGGCUCAACCUCGGGCCUGCAGUGGGUACGGGGCAGACUAGAGUGCGGUAGGGGGAGAUUGGAAUUCCUGGUGUAGCGGUGGAAUGCGCAGAUAUCAGGAGGAACACCAAUGGCGAAGGCAGAUCUCUGGGCCGUAACUGACGCUGAGGAGCGAAAGCGUGGGGAGCGAACAGG